RNAcentral lists this ribosomal RNA (800 nucleotides) under uncultured bacterium. RNAcentral describes it as "bacterial SSU rRNA". It matches the Rfam family "Bacterial small subunit ribosomal RNA", at positions 35 to 830 of the family's 1533-position model. The record is from RNAcentral.
GGGAGUGGCGCGUGCUUACCAUGGCAGUCGAACGAAGCGCGCGGAAGGAAGGCCUUCGGGCCGGAGAGCCGCGGGACUGAGUGGCGGACGGGUGAGUAACGCGUGGGCAACCUGCCCCGUACAGGGGGAUAACAGCCGGAAACGGCUGCUAAUACCGCAUAAGCGCACAGCGCCGCAUGGCGCGGUGUGAAAAGCUCCGGCGGUACGGGAGGGGCCCGCGUCUGAUUAGGCAGUUGGCGGGGCAGCGGCCCACCAAACCGACGAUCAGUAGCCGGCCUGAGAGGGCGGCCGGCCACAUUGGGACUGAGACACGGCCCAAACUCCUGCGGGAGGCAGCAGUGGGGAAUAUUGCACAAUGGGGGAAACCCUGAUGCAGCGACGCCGCGUGAGCGAAGAAGUAUUUCGGUAUGUAAAGCUCUAUCAGCAGGGAAGAAAAAAAUGACGGUACCUGAGCAAGAAGCACCGGCUAAAUACGUGCCAGCAGCCGCGGUAAUACGUAUGGUGCAAGCGUUAUCCGGAUUUACUGGGUGUAAAGGGAGCGUAGGCGGCGCGUUAAGUCUGAUGUGAAAACCCGAGGCUCAACCACGGGAGUGCAUUGGAAACUGGCGGGCUGGAGUGCCGGAGAGGUAAGCGGAAUUCCUAGUGUAGCGGUGAAAUGCGUAGAUAUUAGGAGGAACACCAGUGGCGAAGGCGGCUUACUGGACGGCAACUGACGCUGAGGCUCGAAAGCGUGGGGAGCAAACAGGAUUAGAUACCCUGGUAGUCCACGCCGUANACGAUGAAUACCAGGUGUANGAUGU